Molecule: ribosomal RNA, 486 nt
Filed under: uncultured bacterium
Lineage: Bacteria
Description: bacterial SSU rRNA
Rfam family: Bacterial small subunit ribosomal RNA
Source: RNAcentral
GACGAACGCUGGCGGCGUGCUUAACACAUGCAAGUCGAGGGGGCGGCGCAAGCCGUCACCGGCGAACGGGUGCGUAACACGUGAGCGACCUGCCCAACUGCGGGGGAGUAGCCGGCCCAACGGCCGGGUAAUACCGCAUACGACGCUGGGCCCGCAUGGGUCGAGCGUGAAACCGAUUGAGGGCGGUUGGAGGGGCUCGCGGCCUAUCAGCUAGUUGGUGCGGUCACGGCGCACCAAGGCGAUGACGGGUAGCUGGUCUGAGAGGAUGGCCAGCCACAUUGGGACUGAGAGACGGGCCCAGACUCCUACGGGAGGCAGCAGUGGGGAAUCUUGCGCAAUGGCCGAAAGGCUGACGCAGCGACGCCGCGUGAGGGAUGAAGGUCUUCGGANCGUAAACCUCUGUUGCCCGGGACGAACANCCCUUUUCGAGGGGCCGUGACGGUACCGGGUGAGGAGGCACCGGCUAACUCUGUGCCAGCCGCCGCC